Molecule: long non-coding RNA, 342 nt
Filed under: Brassica napus (rape)
Lineage: Eukaryota; Viridiplantae; Streptophyta; Magnoliopsida; Brassicales; Brassicaceae
Description: long non-coding RNA (BNAP_LNC015689)
Source: RNAcentral
GUUUACUUAAAAUGAUAAUGGAAUGUAAUAAGGAUGGCAAUUUGUAGUAACUUUUGGUAAACUCAGUAACUUGUAUAGUAAAGGUCAACAUUUCUUGUUUAGGCUUCAUGAAUAAACAAAGCUAUUCCAGUUGAGUACUUUACAAAUUAAUCUUUUAUUUAUAUAUUUUCCUGAUUUACCUAACUGGUACCAUUAUAAUCUAUGUUACAUGGAAACGGAAGCGGGUGCGUGGAAGCGGAAGCGUAUGGAAACAUAGAAGCGAAUUUUUUAAAAAAAUUAGGAAGCGGAUACGUGUUGGAAACGUAUAUAUAUAUAUACAUAUAUAAGAAGUUUUUUAAAAUA